This 3609-nucleotide long non-coding RNA is filed under the name Mytilus galloprovincialis (Mediterranean mussel). Lineage: Eukaryota; Metazoa; Mollusca; Bivalvia; Mytilida; Mytilidae. The record is from RNAcentral.
UAGGUUUAUCGUUGAUCAAAACAAGAUCACGUGAAAGUUGAGAUGAUCGGAUAAUUAAAGAAUGCCACGUGUAUUGAUGAUGAGCAGAAGGCUCUCAUCUAAUUUAAGUGUCUAUAAUGGUGAGUUUUGGAAAUAUUUCAAUUGUUUUAUGAUAAUUAUUUGAAAGCAUCAUGAUUUAUUUUUAAAAUAUCAAAGAAUUUCUAUUCUGACAUUAGAUAGUACAAGGUCAAUGUUCAGUAAGCAUGCUGAUUUGUGUACAGGUAAACCUUGAUCAUUUGUCACAUUUAAACACACACAUGAAAUUUGUUUACAUUGCCUAAGAGUCAUUCUACAUGAUAUAUAUGUGUAAUGAUAUUAAAUAAAAAUACAUUUUAUGAUUUAUAAUAUAAACAUAGUUAUUAUAUAUUUUUAUAAACAUCACACAAAAACCUACUUGUUUUUUUAUCAAGUGUUUUCAUACUAUCAAAGUAUUGUUGAAAUUCUAACUUAAAAAUUCUGUAAACAUCAACAUUUUUUUGUUUAUACUCUGAUGCAUAUGUAGAUUUAUGAAUAGAGAACAUUAAUACAGUCAGAAACAGAUUGAUGUCAUAGUAGUUUAUAUCAUAUAUUUUAUACCCAAGUAUUAGAUUUUUGAAAGAGAUUAUAUGUGUCCCCAUUUUUAUUUUGUCAAGCAGUAAUUUGACUUUUUUCCAAAAAGUUUGAAAGUAUUGGCAUGUGAUGAAUUUUCUAAUUGGUUGCAAAUAUGGCAUUGGUCAUCACUUUUCAGUUGCCAGAUGUGCAAUAGCUGUUUACAAGGAAGGAUAUAGUGAAGUAGUUUUCCACCUGAAUAUUUUUAACUUGUUAACUUGUAAGCUGUAAAAUAUAAAGUUAAGCAUUUUGUACAAGUAGCUUGACGAUUCUAAUUUAAAUUGUGUUUUCCAUUUUUAGAAAUCCAAUUGGUGUUUUUUUCCUCUAUAUUACAUGAAUUAAUGCUUUUAUAUAUUUCUUUUGAUGGAAGGUUUUCAAUGCAGAUCAAUUUUUGUGUUGUUUUGUGUUUUUAAGUAUAGUUUUUUAUUUGUUUUAACUUGAGUACAGCAUGAUUUAUCUGAUUUCAUUUCCAUUUGCCACUUUUUUGGUAUUGCGUUUUUUAUUCUUGAUAGUUCUGAUAUCCAAUUUGAUUUAAUUGUUAGUUUAUCUAAUACAAUCUUUUGUGAAAUGUUUCCUUCUUUGUCGAUUAUAUCAUUAAUAAAUAGUAUUCCAUUUGUUAUCCAAUUUGAAAAUAUUAAGCAUUUGUUUUGAAAUUUUAUAUGCUUAUUGCCCCAAAUAUAUUGUUGUCUUAUGUUAAUAAAAGUUGUAUUGUUUUUGUUUGAGAUAUUUUUUAUUUUAAACCAACUUUUAAUUAUUUCUAAAUAAAAAAGAGGGAGUGUUUUACUAAGGUUUGGGAUUGCUUUUAUGCUACCUGGAUUCAUGUUGAAUAAAGAGAAGUUUUCUCCAAAUAUAUUAAAAAAGAAAAGGGGAAUAACUUUCCAGUUCGCAAAGUGUGUUGAUGUUAAACGUUUGACCCAGGAUAAUUGUAUAGCUGAUAGAAAAUUGUCAAUAUUAAUCAUUUUUUAGGCCUCCUUCCAAAUAAUCUUUACAUAAAGUUAUCCGUUUAACUUUUUCUUUUUUAUUUCCCCAAAUGAAGUUGUAAAUUAGUGUUUUGAAUUCAUUCAGAAAGUUUUUGGAUAUAGUUGUCACUGAUGCCAAGAAAGUUAAAUUUGGUAGGAUAAGAGAUUUAAUUACUGUUAUUUUACCUAUCAUUGUAAGAUUUCUUCUGUUCCAGCUAUUGAUUGCAUCUUGAGACUUUCUUAAAAUUCUUUCUGUAUUUAAUCUGUCGCAUUCAUCUUUGUUAAGUCCAAAAUAUACCCCUAGACUUUUAAUAGGUUCUUUAUUCCAGUUUAUAUUUUCAUAUUUAUCUUUGCAGCUUUUCAAUUGGCCUAACCAUAUGCCCUCUGUUUUAGAUCGGUUAAGUUUAAGACCUGAGAGUGUUCCAAAUAUUUCAAUCAAGUUUAAAGCAUAGCUUAUUUCCUGCUUACAUUUUAAAAAGAGAGUAGUAUCAUCUGCUAGUUGUGAAAUUUUCAGACUAUGUGUUUUGGAGUCUAAUUUAAUUUGAAAUCCCUUAAUACCAGUAUCUUGUCUUAUUCUACAUGCAUGCGAGAAUUUCUACUGCUAUUGUGAAAAUUAGAGAACUGCAUGGACACCCUUGUCGUAUCCCACGAUAUACAUUGUAGGUUUCUGAAAUCCAACCAUUAUUUAGCAUACAGCCUUUAAUAUUUUUUAUAUAAUGUUUUAACCCAUUUAAUGAAUGAGUUUGGGAGACCAAAUUUUGUUAGGGCUUCAUACAUAAAGUCCCAUUCUAAUGAAUCAAAAGCUUUUGAAAAAUCAAUAAAAAGUAAUGCACCAUCAAUUUGAAAGGUUUCAGCAUAAUCAAUAAUGUCUUGGAUUUGGCGUAUAUUAAAACCAAUAUAUCUAUUUUUUGAUAUAACCAUUUUGAUCCCCAUGAAUUAUUUUUAACAGUAUUGGUUUUAAACGUUGAGCUAUUGCAUAUGCAAUGAGUUUAGUAUCUACAUUUAAUAGUGUAAUUGGUCUAUAGUUAUCCAGUGACAAAGGGUUCUUUUUUUUUGUAAAUUAAGGAUAUUAUACCUAUUUUUUGUAUGGUUGUUAGUUCUCCUUCUUCAUAGCAUUUGUUAAAAACUUCAACAGUAAAUUCUUUUAGAUUAUUCCAAAAAGUGCGAUAAAAUUCUACACUUAGCCCAUCUAUUCCUGGAGAUUUAUUUAAUUUCAUUUGAAAUAUUGCCUUAGUGCAUUCUUCUACUGUUAAAGGGCCCCCCAAGGAUUCACUUUCUAUUUCUGAUAGUUUGUGAUCAAUGUUGGUUUCAUUUAUGUAAUUUUUUAUAUCUUUUAAAUUUGGAGAAGUGCUUUUAUAUAGAUUUUCAUAGUAUGAUCUUUCUAUGUUUAGAAUUUCUGAGUGUUCUGUAACUAUUUUCCCAUCUUUAUUUUUAAGCGCUGUGAUACUUUUUUUGGUUUGUCUUGAUUUUUCAAGGCCCAGGAAGAAUUUAGUGUUUUUCUCUCCUUCUUCUAACCAUUGUACUCGGGAUCUUAUUUGUGCACCUUUAACUUUAUUUAAGUAGAGGUUUUUCAAGUUUUUCUUCCAUGGUUUUAAUUUCUUUUUCCAUAGUUGGGCUUACAUUUGUUUUUUCAUUUAAUUUUCUUAAUUUUGUUUCUAAAUUUUUUAUAUCAUUUUAUUUUCAGAUGAUCUUUGUUUGCAGUAAGUAAGAGUUGCGGUUCUUACCUCUGAUUUAAACAUAUCCCAAAGUGUUUUCAAAUUUUUGGUGAGUAUUUGUUUUUUAUAGUUUUCGAUUAAUUUAUUUAUGAGAUCAAUAUAUUUUUGCUCUUUAAGUAUACUAUUAUUUAUUUUAAAGAAUCCCCUGCCUCUUUCUUCCGAAUUUUGUCUUACUUGUAAAGAAAUGGCUUGGUGAUCAGUAUAUGAUAUCAUUGCAGGUCGAAUAUCUGCUUUCAUAACAUGCGGUCUUAUAUCAGGACUUAUUAGAAAGAAGUCAAUUCUACUGGCUAUUUUUGUAUCAUUUUUCC